RNAcentral lists this unclassified non-coding RNA (241 nucleotides) under Glomeraceae sp. Its description in RNAcentral is "partial contains 5.8S ribosomal RNA and internal transcribed spacer 2". The stretch from base 1 to 65 matches the Rfam family "5.8S ribosomal RNA", at positions 84 to 154 of the family's 154-position model. The record is from RNAcentral. Lineage: Eukaryota; Fungi; Glomeromycota; Glomeromycetes; Glomerales; Glomeraceae.
GUGAAUCAUCGAAUUUUUGAACGCAAAUUGCACUCUCUUCGGUGAGUAUGAGUGUUUGAGGGUGAGCAUAUAAAAAAUCGACAUCGUCGUUGUUUCGCGGUGGUGUUGGUCGGUAAUUGGGUCAUCUUAAAUAUUUUUGGAUUUUAAGUGAUUUAAAAUUUUCUUUUUGGUUUUAUGAACGAUUCUAAGAUUUAUUGCUUUACACGUUUAAGGUAGUGAUUUUUAUUAGACGUGAUUGUCA